GUGGACACUAUGAAGGUAUACUGUCUGAAAGUGGACACUAUGAAGGUAUACUGUCUGAAAGUGGACACUAUGAAGGUAUACUGUCUGAAAGUGGACACUAUGAAGGUAUACUGUCUGAAAGUGGACACGAUGAAGGUAUACUGUCUGAAAGUGGACACUAUGAAGGUAUACUGUCUGAAAGUGGACACUAUGAAGGUAUACUGUCUGAAAGUGGACACUAUGAAGGUAUACUGUCUGAAAGUGGACACUAUGAAGGUAUACUGUCUGAAAGUGGACACUAUGAAGGUAUACUGUCUGAAAGUGGACACUAUGAAGGUGUC
This is a long non-coding RNA of Oncorhynchus tshawytscha (Chinook salmon), 320 nucleotides long. RefSeq lists it as uncharacterized. The record is from RefSeq and is a predicted model, not a curated record. NCBI's taxonomy places the organism in Eukaryota, Metazoa, Chordata, Actinopteri, Salmoniformes, Salmonidae. The transcript is spliced from 3 exons.